GCCGAGGCCCCCACAGAGGAAAAGGGUGCUGAUCGAGUGCCCUGCUGACUCCAUGGCCUCUAUAAUGAGGCGCGUCCCGAACUUAAAGGGAAGAACAGAAGAAGGCAUCAGUACGGUAGCAAAGCAAUGGCUUGAACUGUGGCCAGGUAGAGAAUGGCAAGAUCAUCGAGGUCCUGAGAUAGUUUCAAUCCGGUGACCUGUAGGGAUGAAGAAAAGAAAAGAAGGAGAUGGCGCCAUGGUUAGAGAUAGUUCCCAUGAAACACGUUCAGAUGUGUUUUCUUGCCGAAACAAGUUCAUAUGCAAAUCCCCUUUUUGUAAGCUGAACGUGAAGUGACUACUGAAUUGUUUAAUCUCCAGACCUGGGAAAAAGUAUCCCUUCUUCCCCCAAAGAAAAUGCCUUGCCUUGGA
This is a long non-coding RNA of Aethalodelphis obliquidens (Pacific white-sided dolphin), 408 nucleotides long. RefSeq lists it as uncharacterized. The record is from RefSeq and is a predicted model, not a curated record. NCBI's taxonomy places the organism in Eukaryota, Metazoa, Chordata, Mammalia, Artiodactyla, Delphinidae. The transcript is spliced from 2 exons.